This 695-nucleotide ribosomal RNA is filed under the name uncultured bacterium. RNAcentral describes it as "bacterial SSU rRNA". It matches the Rfam family "Bacterial small subunit ribosomal RNA", at positions 14 to 698 of the family's 1533-position model. The record is from RNAcentral.
UGAUCAUGGCUCAGAUUGAACGCUGGCGGUAUGCUUAACACAUGCAAGUCGAACGGAAACGAUGGAAGCUUGCUUCCAGGCGUCGAGUGGCGGACGGGUGAGUAACGCGUAGGAAUCUGCCAGAUAGUGGGGGAUAGCCCGGAGAAAUCCGGAUUAAUACCGCAUAAUCUCCAUGGAGUAAAGAGGGCCUCUAUUUAUAAGCUUUCGCUAUCUGAUGAGCCUGCGUAAGAUUAGCUAGUUGGUGGGGUAAUGGCCUACCAAGGCGACGAUCUUUAGCUGGUCUGAGAGGAUGAUCAGCCACACUGGGACUGAGACACGGCCCAGACUCCUACGGGAGGCAGCAGUGGGGAAUAUUGGACAAUGGGGGCAACCCUGAUCCAGCAAUACCGCGUGUGUGAAGAAGGCCUGAGGGUUGUAAAGCACUUUCAAUUGUGAAGAAAAGUUAAUAGUUAAUACCUAUUAGCCUUGACGUUAACUUUAGAAGAAGCACCGGCUAACUCCGUACCAGCAGCCGCGGUAAUACGGAGGGUGCAAGCGUUAAUCGGAAUUACUGGGCGCAAAGCGUGCGUAGGCGGUUGACUAAGUCAGAUGUGAAAGCCCCGGGCUUAACCUGGGAACUGCAUUUGAAACUGGUCAACUAGAGUAUGGUAGAGGAAAGUGGAAUUUCUGGUGUAGCGGUGAAAUGCGUAGAUAUC